Molecule: transfer RNA, 73 nt
Filed under: archaeon GW2011_AR10
Lineage: Archaea
Description: tRNA-Ala
Rfam family: tRNA
About the family: Transfer RNA (tRNA) molecules are approximately 80 nucleotides in length. Their secondary structure includes four short double-helical elements and three loops (D, anti-codon, and T loops).
Source: RNAcentral
GGGCUCUUAGCUCAGCUGGUAGAGCGCCUCGUUUGCAACGAGGAGGCCACGAGUUCGAAUCUCGUAGAGUCCA